Molecule: transfer RNA, 75 nt
Filed under: Mycobacterium sp. H4Y
Lineage: Bacteria; Bacillati; Actinomycetota; Actinomycetes; Mycobacteriales; Mycobacteriaceae
Also listed under: 1 other name
Description: tRNA-OTHER
Source: RNAcentral
AUCGCGGUGACGGAGACCGCAACCGGUCAGCUCAUAACCCAGAGGUCGCAGGUUCGAAUCCUGUCCCCGCUACCA